UCCGGUUUAUCACCGACAGUCACCUUAGAGUGCUCAACUAAAUGCUGGCAACUAAGGUCAAGGGCUGCGCUCGUUGCGGGACUUAACCCAACAUCUCACGACACGAGCUGACGACAACCAUGCACCACCUGUCACUUUGUCCCCCGAAGGGGAAUGUCCUAUCUCUAGGAUUGUCAAAGGAUGUCAAGACCUGGUAAGGUUCUUCGCGUUGCUUCGAAUUAAACCACAUGCUCCACCGCUUGUGCGGGCCCCCGUCAAUUCCUUUGAGUUUCAGCCUUGCGGCCGUACUCCCCAGGCGGAGUGCUUAAUGUGUUAACUUCGGCACUAAGGGCAUCGAAACCCCUAACACCUAGCACUCAUCGUUUACGGCGUGGACUAC
This 379-nucleotide unclassified non-coding RNA is filed under the name uncultured Caryophanales bacterium. Its description in RNAcentral is "uncultured Bacillales bacterium contains 16S-23S intergenic spacer region". Lineage: Bacteria; Bacillati; Bacillota; Bacilli; Caryophanales. The record is from RNAcentral.